UACGUAGGGUGCGAGCGUUAAUCGGAAUUACUGGGCGUAAAGCGUGCGCAGGCGGCGACAUAAGACAGAUGUGAAAUCCCCGGGCUCAACCUGGGAACUGCGUUUGUGACUGUGUUGCUAGAGUGUAGCAGAGGGGGGUGGAAUUCCACGUGUAGCAGUGAAAUGCGUAGAGAUGUGGAGGAACACCGAUGGCGAAGGCAGCCCCCUGGGUUAACACUGACGCUCAUGCACGAAAGCGUGGGGAGCAAACAGGAUUAGAUACCCCAGUAGU
This 271-nucleotide ribosomal RNA is filed under the name uncultured bacterium. RNAcentral's name for it is "partial 16S ribosomal RNA". It matches the Rfam family "Bacterial small subunit ribosomal RNA", at positions 524 to 794 of the family's 1533-position model. The record is from RNAcentral.